UACGUAGGGGGCUAGCGCUAUCCGGAAUUACUGGGCGUAAAGGGUGCGUAGGUGGUUUCUUAAGUCAGAGGUGAAAGGCUACGGCUCAACCGUAGUAAGCCUUUGAAACUGGGAAACUUGAGUGCAGGAGAGGAGAGUGGAAUUCCUAGUGUAGCGGUGAAAUGCGUAGAUAUUAGGAGGAACACCAGUUGCGAAGGCGGCUCUCUGGACUGUAACUGACACUGAGGCACGAAAGCGUGGGGAGCAAACAGGAUUAGAUACCCGCGUAGUCCCUGA
RNAcentral lists this ribosomal RNA (276 nucleotides) under uncultured prokaryote. RNAcentral's name for it is "partial 16S ribosomal RNA". It matches the Rfam family "Bacterial small subunit ribosomal RNA", at positions 524 to 800 of the family's 1533-position model. The record is from RNAcentral.